This 433-nucleotide ribosomal RNA is filed under the name uncultured bacterium. Its description in RNAcentral is "partial 16S ribosomal RNA". It matches the Rfam family "Bacterial small subunit ribosomal RNA", at positions 29 to 507 of the family's 1533-position model. The record is from RNAcentral.
AACGAACGCUGGCGGCAUGCCUAACACAUGCAAGUCGAACGAGACCUUCGGGUCUAGUGGCGCACGGGUGCGUAACGCGUGGGAACCUGCCCUUAGGUUCGGAAUAACUCCCCGAAAGGGGUGCUAAUACCGGAUAAUGUCCUCGGACCAAAGAUUUAUCGCCUUUGGAUGGGCCCGCGUUGGAUUAGCUAGUUGGUAGGGUAAAAGCCUACCAAGGCGACGAUCCUUAGCUGGUCUGAGAGGAUGAUCAGCCACACUGGGACUGAGACACGGCCCAGACUCCUACGGGAGGCAGCAGUGGGGAAUAUUGGACAAUGGGCGAAAGCCUGAUCCAGCAAUGCCGCGUGAGUGAUGAAGGCCUUAGGGUUGUAAAGCUCUUUUACCCGGGAUGAUAAUGACAGUACCGGGAGAAUAAGCUCCGGCUAACUCCGUG